GAAAUGCGAUACUUGGUGUGAAUUGCAGAAUUCAGUGAAUCAUCGAAUCUUUGAACGCACAUUGCGCCCAUUAGUAUUCUAAUGGGCAUGCCUGUUCGAGCGUCAUUUCAACCCUCAAGCCCUAGUUGCUUGGUGUUGGGAGCUUAUCCUGCCGGAAGGCGGGACAACUCCUUAAAGUUAUUGGCGGAGUCGCGGUGACCCCAAGCGCAGUAAUUCUUUUUCUCGCUUUAGGGUGUUAUCGCUGGCUUCUAGCCAUUAAACCCCCCCUAUUUUAUAAUGGUUGACCUCGGAUCAGGUAGGACUACCCGCUGAACUUAA
RNAcentral lists this unclassified non-coding RNA (318 nucleotides) under uncultured fungus. RNAcentral's name for it is "sequence contains ITS1". The stretch from base 1 to 105 matches the Rfam family "5.8S ribosomal RNA", at positions 50 to 154 of the family's 154-position model. The record is from RNAcentral. Lineage: Eukaryota; Fungi.